Molecule: ribosomal RNA, 435 nt
Filed under: uncultured bacterium
Lineage: Bacteria
Description: bacterial SSU rRNA
Rfam family: Bacterial small subunit ribosomal RNA
Source: RNAcentral
GAACGCGAAGAACCUUACCUGGCCUUGAACAUAGUAGAGACUUUCCAGAGAUGGAUUGGUGCCUUCGGGAAUCUACAUACAGGUGCUGCAUGGCUGUCGUCAGCUCGUGUCGUGAGAUGUUGGGUUAAGUCCCGCAACGAGCGCAACCCUUUUCCUUACUUGCCAGCAUUUCGGAUGGGAACUUUAAGGAUACUGCCAGUGACAAACUGGAGGAAGGCGGGGACGACGUCAAGUCAUCAUGGCCCUUACGGCCAGGGCUACACACGUGCUACAAUGGUCGGUACAAAGGGUUGCUACACAGCGAUGUGAUGCUAAUCUCAAAAAGCCGAUCGUAGUCCGGAUCGCAGUCUGCAACUCGACUGCGUGAAGUCGGAAUCGCUAGUAAUCGCAGGUCAGCAUACUGCGGUGAAUACGUUCCCGGGUCUUGUACACACC